UACGUAGGGUGCAAGCGUUGUCCGGAAUUACUGGGCGUAAAGAGCUCGUAGGCGGUUUGUCGCGUCUGCUGUGAAAAUCCAGGGCUUAACCCUGGACCUGCAGUGGGUACGGGCAGACUAGAGUGCGGUAGGGGAGAUCGGAAUUCCUGGUGUAGCGGUGAAAUGCGCAGAUAUCAGGAGGAACACCGGUGGCGAAGGCGGAUCUCUGGGCCGUAACUGACGCUGAGGAGCGAAAGCAUGGGGAGCGAACAGG
This 253-nucleotide ribosomal RNA is filed under the name uncultured bacterium. Its description in RNAcentral is "partial 16S ribosomal RNA". It matches the Rfam family "Bacterial small subunit ribosomal RNA", at positions 524 to 776 of the family's 1533-position model. The record is from RNAcentral.